Lytechinus pictus (painted urchin) is the source of this 2318-nucleotide long non-coding RNA. RefSeq lists it as uncharacterized. The record is from RefSeq and is a predicted model, not a curated record. Lineage: Eukaryota; Metazoa; Echinodermata; Echinoidea; Temnopleuroida; Toxopneustidae. The transcript has 3 exons.
ACAAUUAUAUGCGAAGCGGGGAUUGCUGGGGGUGUGCCUACUUCCUCUGCCCUGGGGGUAUUUUGUUUAAAAUUGACAAUAAAGAUGAUUAUGUAUAUCUGGUUCUUUGAUAGUCAAAUAAAAAGUCUCUUUAAAAGUAAUAGGGACAGAACGUCUUGCCCCCGCCCACAUUUCCGUGUGUUCCCGUUUGCAAAGACUGUAUGCGUCCUUUAUCAACAUGUUAUCAAUAUUAUCAGUGUCAAUCAAUUCAAUGGACAAUGCACACCCGGGUCUGUUGUCCACCUCUGGUGAGUGAAGUGGGGAUUUCUAGGUCUAGUAUGAGGCAGCUCUUAGAAUCCACAUGUCUUCAGAUCAAACAACGAUACCAUGACAGCUCAAAGAAGGACACUAAGUUCGAAAUUGUCUCAACUUCAAAUUUUGGAGGCUUCAACGGAACAGAAUCUACGGAGUACUUAGCAUCGGAUGUAAACUUCUUUCCACCGUCAUGGCAGAAACCAUUAUGACAGAAUUCGUUAUUGCUCUGACGGUUCUAUGCAGUGUGAUCACAGCAUUUGUUAUAAUCAUCGUCACAUUAUUGGUGUGUAUGAAGAUAAGACACUAUCGAUAUAUUGACGAAGACAAUGACGACGAGGACGAUAUCAUCGGGCAUGAGAAUUCAAAACAUCAAUCUACUAAUCAUAGGACAAGGCGAGAUGCAUGGGUGUCUCGAGAGCAGUUAACUCUGGCGCCUGAGAAAACUCUCAUUAAAAUUGUUCUUCAUCCUCAGAAAGAUUCUUAUUCUCAUCAGCCAUAUAUAGAUGACGGUUUACCAACGAUUGUGGCAUAAAUGUAGACAAUUUACUUACAGUCGCGUAACUGAUUAUGACGAAUUGGUUACGGUCGUGGAACGAAUCAUGACGGAUUACUCACGAUCGUGUCAUGAAUCUGCGAAGAAAACACUUUCAGGAGACCGAGCAUGGCAGUAACUGAUUUAUUUAAAAAAAACUUUCUCCAUGGAGAACGUGCCGAUUUACCUACGAUCGUGCACAGUUUAUCAAUGGUCGUCGGACGAACCAUGAUGGUUUAGAUAAGAUUUCUUUACAUGAAUCUGGGAAAAAAACAUUUACAGGAGAUUAGACCUUAGAUAUGUCAUGAUGAUCUAUAUAGUUUGAAAAUUAUCACAGUGUUAUGUAAUGAUAUCAUCCAUCUUGAUUAUGAAGUUGCAUUUCGAAAAUGUUACCCAUGUUACUUUGUCAUAUCAGGUACAAUUUAUCAAAAUUAGGCAUGGUUAUAGUUGGAAUACAAGCAAUUUAUUGUUGAGAAGAAAGAGACACAAUAUCAAAUUCAAAUGUUCCGUAAUUAUAUCACCACAUACCAUUACCUGUGUGUAUGCUAUAUUUGGAUAAUAUUAUUGUGCUUAAAAUUAUUAUUUUGAAUGUAAAUUUUGGCAGAAUAAUGUGCUCUGGGUAUAGUUGUAUGAAUACAUGUUUGAUAUCUUAUUUUUGAGCAACAGUGCACCUCUUAAUUCCCGCAGGCAUGUGUGCUGGUUGGAUAUAUCAUAUGUGACUAAAUUAUUCGGAAGUAGGUAUUUAUUCAGAAUAAUGCACCAAAGAAAUCCAUUUAUGAUAUAUUCAAGAUGUAUUUUAAAAAUGAGGAAGGGAAGAGUAAAUAUAGCAAAAGUCUUGGAAAAAAGAAACUAAUAAAUGACGUUAUUUUUACAAUGAGGGGGACUAGUUUAAGCACAUUCCGCAAGAAAGGACUUAGGGGUAAUUUUUACGACUAGUAUUCAUUUUUAUUUCAAAUAUUGAAGAAAAAACAUUGUAGGCUAUUCAAUGAUGCAAACAUUACUCUGAAAUCUCAAGUAAAACUAAAAAUAUCAGCAAAUUAAAAAGGGCAUACUAGAAAAUUAAUCACAAAAAUCACUAAAGCCCCUUUUUGUGGAAAUCCGACGGAUUAUCACUUAUAUAAAAAAAAUAUUAACAUUUUUACUCCCCGUCAUCAUUCAUUUAUCACUUCGUGUAGGCUCUGAUUUUUGUUUUAUUCUUUCAAAAAAUAUUUCAACUUCUCAAUAUUAUAUGCUAACGUCUUGCUUUCACCAUGUACACUUAAUGUGUAUUCGAAAUUGGGAUAUAGAUAUAUACAUGUAUAGCAUCGAUAUUGGAACUCUGUAAUCUGUAACUUCGUAUGGUAUUUUUUUUUACCUCUGUCAUGUGUCUAUGGUAAUGUUUGUUCCUUCCUGUGAAGUUGAAUAAAUGAAUAAACUCGAUACGAAUGUUAUGUUAACGUACGUACACCAAAAUGAACAAUUAACUUGAAAAUAAAUCAUAAUUAUAGACCCU